Molecule: ribosomal RNA, 454 nt
Filed under: Microbacterium paraoxydans
Lineage: Bacteria; Bacillati; Actinomycetota; Actinomycetes; Micrococcales; Microbacteriaceae
Description: bacterial SSU rRNA
Rfam family: Bacterial small subunit ribosomal RNA
Source: RNAcentral
AGGAUGAACGCUGGCGGCGUGCUUAACACAUGCAAGUCGAACGGUGAACACGGAGCUUGCUCUGUGGGAUCAGUGGCGAACGGGUGAGUAACACGUGAGCAACCUGCCCCUGACUCUGGGAUAAGCGCUGGAAACGGCGUCUAAUACUGGAUAUGUGACGUGACCGCAUGGUCUGCGUUUGGAAAGAUUUUUCGGUUGGGGAUGGGCUCGCGGCCUAUCAGCUUGUUGGUGAGGUAAUGGCUCACCAAGGCGUCGACGGGUAGCCGGCCUGAGAGGGUGACCGGCCACACUGGGACUGAGACACGGCCCAGACUCCUACGGGAGGCAGCAGUGGGGAAUAUUGCACAAUGGGCGAAAGCCUGAUGCAGCAACGCCGCGUGAGGGAUGACGGCCUUCGGGUUGUAAACCUCUUUUAGCAGGGAAGAAGCGAAAGUGACGGUACCUGCAGAAAAAG